Molecule: transfer RNA, 74 nt
Filed under: Heterobasidion annosum
Lineage: Eukaryota; Fungi; Basidiomycota; Agaricomycetes; Russulales; Bondarzewiaceae
Also listed under: 4 other names
Description: tRNA-Asn
Rfam family: tRNA
About the family: Transfer RNA (tRNA) molecules are approximately 80 nucleotides in length.
Source: RNAcentral
GGUAUCAUGGCAGAGUGGUUAUCGCAGAUUACUGUUAAUAAUUCUAUUCAGAGGUUCGAAUCCUCUUGAUACCU